GAUGAACGCUGGCGGCGUGCCUAAUACAUGCAAGUCGAGCGAACGGACGAGAAGCUUGCUUCUCUGAUGUUAGCGGCGGACGGGUGAGUAACACGUGGAUAACCUACCUAUAAGACUGGGAUAACUUCGGGAAACCGUAGCUAAUACCGGAUAAUAUUUUGAACCGCAUGGUUCAAAAGUGAAAGACGGUCUUGCUGUCACUUAUAGAUGGAUCCGCGCUGCAUUAGCUAGUUGGUAAGGUAACGGCUUACCAAGGCAACGAUGCAUAGCCGACCUGAGAGGGUGAUCGGCCACACUGGAACUGAGACACGGUCCAGACUCCUACGGGAGGCAGCAGUAGGGAAUAUUCCGCAAUGGGCGAAAGCCUGACGGAGCAACGCCGCGUGAGUGAUGAAGGUCUUCGGAUCGUAAAACUCUGUUAUUAGGGAAGAACAUAUGUGUAAGUAACUGUGCACAUCUUGACGGUACCUAAUCAGAAAGCCACGGCUAACUACGUG
Molecule: ribosomal RNA, 497 nt
Filed under: uncultured bacterium
Lineage: Bacteria
Description: partial 16S ribosomal RNA
Rfam family: Bacterial small subunit ribosomal RNA
Source: RNAcentral